CCUACGGGGGGCAGCAGUGAGGAAUAUUUGUCAAUGGACGCAAGUCUGAACCAGCCAUGCCGCGUGCAGGAAGACGGCUCUAUGAGUUGUAAACUGCUUUUGUACGAGGGUAAACGCAGAUACGCGUAUCUGUCUGAAAGUAUCGUACGAAUAAGGAUCGGCUAACUCCGUGCCAGCAGCCGCGGGAAUACGGAGGAUUCAAGCGUUAUCCGGAUUGAUUGGGUUUAAAGGGUGCGUAGGCGGUCGGAUAAGUUAGAGGUGAAAUCCCGAGGCUCAACUUCGGAAUUGCAUCUGAUACUGUUAGGCUAGAGUGUAGUAGCGGUAGGCGGAAUGUAUGGUGUAGCGGUGAAAUGCUGAGAGAUCAUACAGAACACCGAUUGCGAAGGCAGCUUACCAAGCUACUUCUGACGUUGAGGCACGAAGGCGUGGGGAGCAAACAGGAUUAGAUACCCCUGUAGUC
This 460-nucleotide ribosomal RNA is filed under the name uncultured bacterium. RNAcentral describes it as "partial 16S ribosomal RNA". It matches the Rfam family "Bacterial small subunit ribosomal RNA", at positions 338 to 795 of the family's 1533-position model. The record is from RNAcentral.